Molecule: ribosomal RNA, 484 nt
Filed under: uncultured bacterium
Lineage: Bacteria
Description: partial 16S ribosomal RNA
Rfam family: Bacterial small subunit ribosomal RNA
Source: RNAcentral
AUUGAACGCUGGCGGCAGGCCUAACACAUGCAAGUCGAGCGGAUGAAGGGAGCUUGCUCCUGGAUUCAGCGGCGGACGGGUGAGUAAUGCCUAGGAAUCUGCCUGGUAGUGGGGGAUAACGUCCGGAAACGGGCGCUAAUACCGCAUACGUCCUGAGGGAGAAAGUGGGGGAUCUUCGGACCUCACGCUAUCAGAUGAGCCUAGGUCGGAUUAGCUAGUUGGUGGGGUAAAGGCCUACCAAGGCGACGAUCCGUAACUGGUCUGAGAGGAUGAUCAGUCACACUGGAACUGAGACACGGUCCGGACUCCUACGGGAGGCAGCAGUGGGGAAUAUUGGACAAUAGGCGAAAGCCUGAUCCAGCCAUGCCGCGUGUGUGAAGAAGGUCUUCGGAUUGUAAAGCACUUUAAGUUGGGAGGAAGGGCAGUAAGUUAAUACCUUGCUGUUUUGACGUUACCAACAGAAUAAGCACCGGCUAACUUCGUG